UUGAUUGUACCCGCCAGCUGGCUAAUAUCAUAAUUAACAAAGUUGCUACCAUGUCUGAGAAGUUUAAUCGAAAAAAUUGCCGGCAGUAUGAUGCCAUUGUCACAGAGAUCACAAGCGCAGCAGUGUUGACUUUUGUACUGGUGGAGCCGCAGGACUAUGUAGAUGUGCUGAAAAGUCGUUCGCUGGGAUAACUGAAGUGAGAUGUGAUUGCAGACAGCGCGCGGCUGGGCUGUGGUGGAACCGGCCAGUGGCGACCUGCCCUUGCUCUGCUGGCUCCCAGCGGAGCAGCCGUGCCACGGGAUGCAGAAGUUGGGAGCAGCUGCCUGCCAUGAACCUCCACGUGCAGGAAUGCCGGCAGGAGAGCGUGGAAGCGUCAGCGAGGUUUAGCUGGUGGAUCAUAUUGUGAAAUCUGCAGCCAUGAAAGGCCCUCCAUUUACUGCACCCUUCAAAACGAAAUGUUAGCAUGGGAGGCUAAGCUGGAGGCUAAUAACGAAGGAGUCAGUGAAGGAGACCAAUGCCACGAGGGUUAUCUCGCAGCCCCAGAUGCUGGAUAAGUUGAAGGAGGCAGAAUCGCUUUUGGAUGACAUUCAGGAAGGCCUUGAAUGAUUAUCUGGCGAAGAAAAGACUAUUCUUUCCAAGGGUUUUUUUUCCCUAGAUGCAGCAAUGAUCUCUUAGGAAUACUUUUUGAGACAAAGGAUCCACUCCACCUCCAACCACACCUAAGGAAAUGCUUUGAAGGAAUUGACAAGCUCACUUUUAAUCACAAGAGAGAAAUUACCCACAUGGAGUCAGCAGAAAAUGAAAAAGUAGAGCUCACGCUGCGAAUAAUUCCAGCAAAUGCCAAGGGGCUAGUUGAGAAAUGGCUUCAUGAGGUGAAUAUCUUUAGCUCUUACUUAGGGUUUGGUCACUGUAUGAUCAUUUUCUUUUUUAGGAGCAAUGAAUAUUAUAAGCAUAUACUAAACAGCUCUCUGAAUAUUUGUCAAAAUGUUGACGGAUUUCAGCCUUAUUGUUGUUAUUUAUUGUGAGUAAUUUAACAUCUGCAAACACGCAGAAAUUAAUUCUAAUAAAAAGCUCUCGAAUCAGGCUGUCAGCAGAAGUCGGUCUGUGUCUGAAACCAUAUGUCUGAAUAUAUGUUUGAGUCUACAUGUAUGUGUUUUGUGCUUUCAUGGUGUAAUGUCUGUAGUUCAGGAGGAUAAUAUGUAAAAAAUAAUCAAAGAAAUGUAAGAUUUUUGAAUGCUUCCCUCCACCCUGCAGAAAGUGUGUCCCAUUGUGUUGGAGGGGUUUAAUAUCCAAUCAUUUUAACAAAAGGGAAGAGAAAUUAUGUCACUGAUAACAUCCUAACCUUUCCCCUUUGGGGCCUCUAAUCUAAAUUCAUUGGUUUCAGUACGAAAUUAGUUUGGUGACCUUUUUUGUUUGCUUUAUAUAACCUUCCUCUCCCAGUGGAUAGGAAUGGGACCUUCCAUUCUUUUUUCUUUCUGGGCAUUUUUCUUCCACGUGCUUACCUUUCUCCUGUGGCAGGAUCAGCCCCAGGAAUCCCACUUCCCCUGUGAUCAUUGUUGCAGGCACUGGUCUCAUCCUCAGUGGCUUGUCCCUGGGUGCUCCCUAGGCAGGGGUAAGUGGCAGGGACUGGCACCCAGCUCCAG
Cyanistes caeruleus (blue tit) is the source of this 1643-nucleotide long non-coding RNA. RefSeq lists it as uncharacterized. The record is from RefSeq and is a predicted model, not a curated record. Lineage: Eukaryota; Metazoa; Chordata; Aves; Passeriformes; Paridae.